CCACGUUGCACUCACUCGCGCGCAUGCUGGUCUCUUCUCCCCUUCCUUCCGCUGCGGCGCGUGCUGCCGUGGCGCUUCUCUUCUUGAUGCUCGGUCUUGCUCACAGAGCGAAUGGGUGGUCCGGCGCCGACGCCUACACGAUAGUCCUGUUGAACGGCUUUGACACAGACAUGGCUCUGCAGGAUCAGUUCUACAACGCUCCCAACGGCACGCUCUUGACCAUCGCGCGCAGCGGGUAUCGCCUCAUGGAUAGAGAUCUCGCGCCGCCGACCUCUGCGCCGACGUUGGCGAGAGAGACGGUCUUCAUGCCCGCCGGUGCCCUGGACGAGCGCCUCUCCACCGCGAUGGGGUAUCAAGGAACGAAAGCCGUAGGUGGCCCACUCCCGUUUCGUUGUCGACUCUCUGGGGAGUGGGUGGUGUGGAGCAAGGAGCGGCCGCGCAGAAGUUGUGUGGGUGAGCAGGCUCGAGGAAAGGGCGCUGAAGAGGAACCAGUUCUGUUGCAUUGCCGGCUCCCGCUGCCGCAGAACCGGAUGGAGCAGGCGUUGCGGCAGCGUCGCUACAUUGCGCGUAAUCGCGCUGCCAUGUCCGCCGCACUCGAGGCGUGGUGGCACACGGCUGCCAGCGAGCAGUCCUCCCGCUGUCUGUACGGAGACGGCGAAAAGGCACUGACCGGCAGGGAGCGAUACUACGAACUGUGUCCCGCCGGCGUUGUGUAUCGAGUUCAGCACCAGCGCCUGAAGCGCCUGCUACAGCCCCUCUCUCCGCAUCGUGGCACUGAGGGUGCCUCCACGAAAGCCGAGGACACACCAAACGUGCUCGACUUCUUGCACACCAUGCACCACAGCCUGUCGAGUCGCCAGGCCAUAUUGCAGAACCCACGGUACAGCGGCGUCUUUGAGCAGAUAGGUCGGUACCACUCGCGCAUUUCGAAGCCACGGUGGAACCCGGAGUACCUGGUGUGGGAGAGCUGGUAUCCAUCAGCGAAUCCAUGCGCUACGCAUUACACAAUACUCUCCGAUUUCGCGGGAGCAGGGAUCGCUAACAAAAGCGCCACUGCGCGAGCUCGUGGGGCGCCACAUGCAGUGCGGCCUCAAGACGCCUACUGGAAGACCGUGGUGCGCUUCAGAUGCCCGUCCCAUCGCCCCGCGAACGAGACGCACAAGAGGUCGCUCUGGACGGUGACGGAGGCCCGUCAGCUGUGCGAGUACCAUGUGGAGGUGAUGAGCGAGCUGAUCUGCGGCUGGGAGCAGGAGCUGGACAGUUUCCAGGUGAACCCGGUGCCGUGUGUGGUGGUGGAUUGACGCCUUUGGCGUCGCAGAGGCAACGUACCAAUGUGCAGCUGCUGCAGGGCCUCGGCGCCAGCCCGGGUGCACAUAUAUAUAUAUAUAUAUGUGUGUGUGUGUAUGUGCGUCGUGGGCCGCUCUCCGUACUUCUCUUUUCCACACCCACCGGUUCCCCACCAAGGCGCGGAGAAAGGAGGAGGAGCUCGGGUGCUCCUCGGAUGCCACACGCCGCUGAUCUGCUCGUCAAACACACGCUCG
RNAcentral lists this unclassified non-coding RNA (1541 nucleotides) under Leishmania donovani. RNAcentral describes it as "gene:LdHU3.36.7560(CDS-product:hypothetical_prote in_conserved)". The record is from RNAcentral. Lineage: Eukaryota; Euglenozoa; Kinetoplastea; Trypanosomatida; Trypanosomatidae.